Molecule: ribosomal RNA, 305 nt
Filed under: uncultured bacterium
Lineage: Bacteria
Description: bacterial SSU rRNA
Rfam family: Bacterial small subunit ribosomal RNA
Source: RNAcentral
GCCUACGGGGCGUAGCAGUGGGGAAUAUUGCGCAAUGGGCGAAAGCCUGACGCAGCGACGCCGCGUGAGGGAUGAAGGUCUUCGGAUCGUAAACCUCUGUCAGCAGGGAAGAACGGUCACUGUGCUAAUCAGCAGUGAAUUGACGGUACCUGCAGAGGAAGCACCGGCUAACUCCGUGCCAGCAGCCGCGGUAAUACGGAGGGUGCGAGCGUUAAUCGGAAUUACUGGGCGUAAAGCGCUCGUAGGCGGUAUGUCAAGUCAAGGGUGAAAUCCCCGCGCUCAACGUGGGAACUGCCUUUGAAACG